Molecule: small nuclear RNA, 104 nt
Organism: Phacochoerus africanus (Common warthog)
Lineage: Eukaryota; Metazoa; Chordata; Mammalia; Artiodactyla; Suidae
Source: RefSeq, a predicted model, not a curated record
GUGCUCGCUUCAGCAGCGCAUAUACUAAAACUGGAACAAUACAAAGAUUAGCAUGACCUCCAGGCAAAGAUGAUACACAAAUUCAUGAAGCAUUCCAUAUUUUU